CAGUACCGUGCAAAGGUAGCAUAAUCACUUGUCUUUUAAAUGAAGACCUGUAUGAAUGGCAUAACGAGGGCUUAACUGUCUCCUCUCUCCAGUCAAUGAAAUUGAUCUCCCCGUGCAGAAGCGGGGAUAUUUACAUAAGACGAGAAGACCCUAUGGAGCUUUAGACACCAAGACAGCCCAUGUUAAACAUCCUGAACACAACAGUGCCUAUUAGCUAGCCCCCUCAACUAAACUUAACAAUUGGGGUAACCAUAAAUAACCCCAAAAGCACUAAACGGAUUACCUAAACAAAACAUUUUUCCUCCCUAGUAUGGGCGACAGAAAAGGACCUUCGGGCGCAAUAGAACAAGUACCGCAAGGGAAAGCUGAAAGAGAAAUGAAAUAAACCAAGUAAAGCUAAGAAAAGCAGAGAUUUUCCCUUUUAGAGCCCAUAUCGACAAGGGGGUUUACGACCUCGAUGUUGGAUCAGGACAUCCUAAUGGUGCAGCCGCUAUUAAGGGUUCGUUUGUUCAACGAUUAAAGUCCUACGUGAUCUGAGUUCAGACCGGAGGUCAUA
This 556-nucleotide ribosomal RNA is filed under the name Atropus atropos (cleftbelly trevally). RNAcentral's name for it is "partial large subunit ribosomal RNA". It matches the Rfam family "Bacterial large subunit ribosomal RNA", at positions 1941 to 2635 of the family's 2925-position model. Lineage: Eukaryota; Metazoa; Chordata; Actinopteri; Carangiformes; Carangidae. The record is from RNAcentral.